AGUGAACGCUGGCGGUAGGCCUAACACAUGCAAGUCGAACGGCAGCACAGUAAGAGCUUGCUCUUACGGGUGGCGAGUGGCGGACGGGUGAGGAAUACAUCGGAAUCUACUUUUUCGUGGGGGAUAACGUAGGGAAACUUACGCUAAUACCGCAUACGACCUACGGGUGAAAGCAGGGGAUCUUCGGACCUUGCGCGAUUGAAUGAGCCGAUGUCGGAUUAGCUAGUUGGCGGGGUAAAGGCCCACCAAGGCGACGAUCCGUAGCUGGCCUGUGAGGAUGAUCAGCCACACUGGAACUGAGACACGGUCCAGACUCCUACGGGAGGCAGCAGUGGGGAAUAUUGGACAAUGGGCGCAAGCCUGAUCCAGCCAUACCGCGUGGGUGAAGAAGGCCUUCGGGUUGUAAAGCCCUUUUGUUGGGAAAGAAAAGCAGCAGGUUAAUACCCCGCUGUUCUGACGGUACCCAAAGAAUAAGCACCGGCUAACUUCGUG
RNAcentral lists this ribosomal RNA (492 nucleotides) under uncultured bacterium. RNAcentral's name for it is "partial 16S ribosomal RNA". It matches the Rfam family "Bacterial small subunit ribosomal RNA", at positions 29 to 507 of the family's 1533-position model. The record is from RNAcentral.